RNAcentral lists this ribosomal RNA (252 nucleotides) under uncultured bacterium. RNAcentral describes it as "partial 16S ribosomal RNA". It matches the Rfam family "Bacterial small subunit ribosomal RNA", at positions 524 to 776 of the family's 1533-position model. The record is from RNAcentral.
UACGGAGGAUCCAAGCGUUAUCCGGAUUUAUUGGGUUUAAAGGGUGCGUAGGCGGGAUGCCAAGUCAGCGGUCAAAUACGGGGGCUCAACCUGCGUCCGCCGUUGAAACUGGCGUUCUUGAGUGGGCGAGAAGUACGCGGAAUGCGUGGUGUAGCGGUGAAAUGCAUAGAUAUCACGCAGAACCCCGAUUGCGAAGGCAGCGUACCGGCGCCCAACUGACGCUGAAGCACGAAAGCGUGGGUAUCGAACAGG